UUAUGGCCAUAUCACGUUGAAGCACCACUUCCCGUACGAUAACCGAAGUUAAGCAACGUUUAGCCUGGUCAUUAACUAAAUGGGUGACCGCCUGGGAAUACCAGGUGCUGUAA
RNAcentral lists this ribosomal RNA (113 nucleotides) under Acanthosepion pharaonis. The record is from RNAcentral. Lineage: Eukaryota; Metazoa; Mollusca; Cephalopoda; Sepiida; Sepiidae.